This 87-nucleotide transfer RNA is filed under the name Candidatus Daviesbacteria bacterium. RNAcentral describes it as "tRNA-Ser". It matches the Rfam family "tRNA". From Rfam's summary of the family: Transfer RNA (tRNA) molecules are approximately 80 nucleotides in length. Lineage: Bacteria; Candidatus Daviesiibacteriota. The record is from RNAcentral.
GGUGGGGUCGCAUAGUGGUUGAUUGCGCUGGUUUCGAAAACCGGUGUCGCCGAAAGGCGACCGUGAGUUCGAAUCUCACCCCCACCG